CCUACGGGAGGCAGCAGUAGGGAAUAUUGCACAAUGGGGGAAACCCUGAUGCAGCAACGCCGCGUGGGGGAAGAAGUAAUUCGGUAUGUAAAGUUCUAUUAGCAGGGAAGAAAAUGACGGUAUCUGAGGAAUAAGCCCCGGCUAACUACGUGCCAGCAGCCGCGGUAAUACGGAGGGUGCAAGCGUUAUUCGGAUUUACUGGGUGUAAAGGGAGCGUAGGCGGGAUUGCAAGUCAGGUGUGAAAGGCGAUGGCUUAACCCCCGAACUGCAUUGGAAACUGUAAGUCUAGAGUGUAGGAGAGGUAAGUGGAAUUCUUAGUGUAGGGGUAAAAUGCGUAGAGAUUAAGAGGAAUACUAAUUGCGAAGGCGACCUGCUGGACUGUAACUGACGCUGAGGCGCGAAAGCGUGGGGAGCAAACAGGAUUAGAUACCCUAGUAGUC
RNAcentral lists this ribosomal RNA (440 nucleotides) under uncultured bacterium. RNAcentral's name for it is "partial 16S ribosomal RNA". It matches the Rfam family "Bacterial small subunit ribosomal RNA", at positions 338 to 795 of the family's 1533-position model. The record is from RNAcentral.